UCCCACCCUUUUUCCCGAAGGUAAUACGGGGGGUGCAAGCGUUACUCGGAAUCAUUGGUCUUAAAGGGCGCGCAGGCGGCCUGGUAAGUCAGAUGUGAAAGCCCGGGGCUUAACCCCGGAAGUGCAUUUGAUACUGCUGGGCUUGAGUAUGGGAGAGGGAAGUGGAAUUCCUGGUGUAGAGGUGAAAUUCGUAGAUAUCAGGAGGAACACCGGUGGCGAAGGCGACUUCCUGGACCAAUACUGACGCUGAGGCGCGAAGGCGUGGGGAGCGAACAGGAUUAGAUACCCUGGUAGUCCACGCAGUAAACGUUGUUCACUAGGUGUAGCGGGUAUUGACCCCUGCUGUGCCGCAGCUAACGCAUUAAGUGAACCGCCUGGGGAGUACGGCCGCAAGGUUAAAACUCAAAGGGAUUGACGGG
RNAcentral lists this ribosomal RNA (419 nucleotides) under uncultured Desulfobacteraceae bacterium. RNAcentral describes it as "bacterial SSU rRNA". It matches the Rfam family "Bacterial small subunit ribosomal RNA", at positions 501 to 917 of the family's 1533-position model. The record is from RNAcentral. Lineage: Bacteria; Pseudomonadati; Thermodesulfobacteriota; Desulfobacteria; Desulfobacterales; Desulfobacteraceae.